GGUCCAAAGAAUAAAUGAAUUAGGGUUUCAGCAUAUAUAUAAAAGGUUAAAUAUUAAACCCCCCAAUCUCCUCUCCCCCUAAACCCUAAACCCCCAAUCUGAGCAGCAAAAGCAAAAUCUGGGAGAUGGCGACGGUGCCAGGGCAACUGAUCUGGGAGAUAGUGAAGAAGAACAACUCUUUUCUGGUGAAGGAGUUCGGGAGAAGCCACGUACAUUUCUCUACAUCCCAUUUUGUUUGCUUUCUGUUUGGUUCCCGAGCAAGUUUGUUUUUAAAUUGAGAUGGUUUUCGAUCAGGGCUGGCAAACAAGAAAACUGUGACCAUUGAGGCUGUGGGUAAAGAUCAAUCUGUGUUGUUGGCAACAACUAAGACCAAGAAGCAGAACAAACCUGCUGCUUUGCUCCAUAAGUCUGUGAUGAAACAGGAGUUUCGCAGGAUGGCCAAGGCAGUCGCAAACCAGGUGGCAGAUAACUACUACAGGCCAGAUCUGAAAAAAGCAGCCCUUGCAAGGUUGAGUGUUGUUCACAAGAGCCUCAAGGUUGCCAAGUCUGGUGUCAAGAAGAGGAACAGGCAAGCUGUUAGAGUCUAUGGCAGGAAGUGAGUUACAGGGGGCUGAUACACCAGUGUUCUUUUCAUGAUUUUGGAUUUGAUUGGAUCGUCCUUGAAAACUCAAGAUGUAUUCGGAUUUUGGGGAUUUUAUUUAGUUUGUUUUGCAAAAGAUUCCUGGAUAUGAAAUUUUUUUUUUCAACCAA
Molecule: non-coding RNA, 750 nt
Organism: Prunus mume (Japanese apricot)
Lineage: Eukaryota; Viridiplantae; Streptophyta; Magnoliopsida; Rosales; Rosaceae
Source: RefSeq, a predicted model, not a curated record